Anneissia japonica is the source of this 1784-nucleotide long non-coding RNA. RefSeq lists it as uncharacterized. The transcript has 4 exons. Lineage: Eukaryota; Metazoa; Echinodermata; Crinoidea; Comatulida; Comatulidae. The record is from RefSeq and is a predicted model, not a curated record.
ACCAGUAAUAUCUAUUCUGAGUCACAGUAUUAAAAAACGCAACGAUUUCUCUGUGUUUAGAAAUUCAUAGAAAUCUUUCUAGAGACGCCUCCUGGUUGAUCUGGAACCAGACGAGUAUUGCUACACGUAUCUGAUAUUUGAAGUACUCCGUUUUAGACGUUUUAGAGACAUAUUCAGAUAAAGUAUUUGGAUUAGAUUGGAUAAGCAAGUCCACAAUAGCAGUAUGGAUGUAAAUAGUGUCCAUUUGGAUAGCAGAGACAGUGCACCAAUAAUUGACAUAGAUUACAAACAGAGGAAAAGAGUAACAAUUCUGUUAUUCUGUCUCAUCGCUAUCGCUGCGGUCAUCAUUGCAAUCUUGGCCAUCGCUGGAGUAUUCUCAUCUUAAAUAGCUCAGCUGGAGAACCACAGUCAAAUGUUCGAUCACAAUCCAGAACUAUUAAAUAUAGUUAACGCAGAGGGAGAAAACAUUUAUCGCUUAAAAAAUUAAUUAUGGACGUAAAAAUAAAACCAACAUAAUAUAUUCAAAUAUUGUAUUGUGUGUAUUGUAUUCAAGCAAGUACACAAUUUUGUGUAUAUUCAGCAACUGCAGUAUUUAUGCAACUAUAUUCAACGUGGCCUUGGUUUUCCAGUAUUUUUAAUUGAUUGAAAGGCUGAAUAAAUCUAUGCUGGCUGAAUGAAAUGUACUUGUUGCAAUAGGAGUCGACAUGAAACUACUGCUGCGGUUGUCAGCAAUAUUAGGGAUUUAAGAUCACUGGUGGAUCCAGAAAUUCGACAAAGAGGGCCGGGGCCCAGGGGAGGGACUUUGACAGAUGGAGGGCGCUAAACUACCUCAGCCCAACCAUGGUCGGGGCUGAGGUAAGCUAAUUUAUGAUUAUGGCACCUCUAGAUAGAUGGUCGGAAAUGACACUCUCAAAAUUUGAAUAUAAUGGGUUUUUUUUCCAAUCUUUAUCUGCCACUGAAUUUUUAAUAUAAACACAGCUUUAUAGGUAUAUUAUAUGAAUGUGCAAUAUUGAUUCAGAAAAAUGUCCAACCCAUGUUAUAGAGGGAAGUGGAGAUGAAUGAGGAGCAGACCAAAAUGAAGAGUGCAACUUCAAAGAGAGGAACGGACACAAAAAAUGAACAAACACAUGAAGUUAAACAAAAUGUUAAUGAACAGUCAGUUACUGUCUAAACGAUUUUACAGGUUAGGACAGGGGAAACUUUUGCAAUUGGAGCUUUUAGUGAAUCACCCCUUACAGGAAAUUGAACAACUAUGUUAUUCAAAUAUUGAAAGUAGUUAUUGGAGUAAGUGCAAUUAUGAGUAUUAACAUUUUCAGUAAUCAUAGAUAGGGCUUUCCUAUAAUAUUCAAUAAUUAAAUUAUAAUGUUAAAAUGUAUAAUUCCCCUCAUUUUAAAUUCUUUUUUGAUUUCUAUUUCUAACUAUGUUUGGUUAUUCUGAACAAUGGUACCCGGAUGUACGGAUGUUGGGUGGUUAUUAUUUAUUCAAAUAAUCUUUAUAUAUCAAUAUUUAUUAAUAUAUAUAUAUAUAUAUAUAUAAUUAUAUAUAUAUAUAUAUAUCCUUAUGGUAAUUUAAAUAUAACAUAAAAUGCAUAUUAACCAAACAGUCUUGUUAAAUUACGUAAUUGUUGUAUGAAAUAUUUGUCAUGUUAAUGUUUUGUUGAAAUUUCAUAAUUUUCUACAACAGUUAUUUGUAAGCUGCAAAUAAUUAUUUGCGUAGCCUGUGCCAAAGAGGUCAGUGGCCUAAAACAUAUCCAUGCUAUCAAUAAAUGUCAAUUUAUAUGAAUA